GACGAACGCUGGCGGCGUGCUUAACACAUGCAAGUCGAACGGUGAAGCUCCAGCUUGCUGGAGUGGAUCAGUGGCGAAAGGGUGAGUAACACGUGAGCAACCUGCCCCUGACUCUGGAAUAAGCGCUGGAAACGGCGUCUAAUACUGGAUACGAGAAGGGUCCGCAUGGGCACUUUCUGGAAAGUUUUUCGGUUGGGGAUGGGCUCGCGGCGUAUCAGCUUGUUGGUGAGGUAUUGGCUCACCAAGGCGACGACGGGUAGCCGGCCUGAGAGGGCGACCGGCCACGCUGGGACUGAGACACGGCACAGACUCCACCGGGAGGCAGCGGAGGGGAAUAGUGCACUAGGGGCUAAAGCCUGAUGCAGCGACGCCGCGUGGGGGAUGAGGGCCAGCGGGUUGUAAACCUCUUUCAGCAGGGAAGAAGCGAAAGUGACGGUACCUGCAGAAGAAGCACCGGCUAACUACGUG
RNAcentral lists this ribosomal RNA (468 nucleotides) under uncultured bacterium. RNAcentral's name for it is "partial 16S ribosomal RNA". It matches the Rfam family "Bacterial small subunit ribosomal RNA", at positions 28 to 507 of the family's 1533-position model. The record is from RNAcentral.